AAAAUGAAGAACUAGAGGCAAUGAAAGGCCAAUGCAGCUCAACAAAGUGAAGAGUUGGAGGCAGUUAAAGCAAAACAAACCAAGACGGAUACAUUUAUAAGAAGACUACUGGAACAGCUAUCCUCUAGGAAAUAAAGGUACGUAGUGUCAUAUUUAUUUAUGUAAGGUUGGUUAAACAAAAAAGAACAACAGAAGGGUGAUAAGACGUUAAUAUGUAUCCUAUAGUAUUGUAUGUACUUUUUUUCUUUUACUAUAGCAUGCAUGUAAGUUUUCUAACUUCUUGUAUAUUUCUUUAUGCUAUUGCAGGUUUGUGAAGUGUGGUCCAAGGUCAACGUUUUAGCUUUGUAUAUAAAUUUCUCACUUUGUGUUAGCUUUUGGAAAGACUUGAGAAACACUUCUUCUACCUGCUUAGCUUUUGGAAAUACAUCUUUAUCCAAGUUUAUUUUAAUAGUUGGUAUGAAUUGGUGCAGAUCCUUGUAUACUGACUUUGCUACAAUUUAAGUUUAAUUAUGACGGAGAUGAGAUACAUAUUUUAUUGGAGAUUAUUGCUAAUAUCAGUAUAUAUUACUGUACAAAUUUUGUUGAUCAUUAUUGGAAAAGAAAAUCUAAACUAAAAACUAUUGCCAUUUAGUGACCAUAUCAUAAUUUCCAGUGACCAAAUAUUUUUGUCAAACAAUGCUACUGAAACAAUUUUUAAGUUUAGUGAGCAGCGCUUUAAUGACUAUCUGUUGGUCACAAAAUGUGGCAUACGAGUUCUUGUCAGUGACCAAAAUUAGGGGUUCAAUGAUGAACUUCUUGGUCACUAAAACAUGUCUUAUUAGUGGUCACAAUAAUUUGGUCACUAAGCGUAGCGCUUGAAAAUUUUUCAAUGACCAAGUAAGGGUUUUAGUUACCAAAAAUAUGGGUUUUAGU
RNAcentral lists this long non-coding RNA (912 nucleotides) under Fragaria vesca (wild strawberry). RNAcentral describes it as "long non-coding RNA (FVES_LNC004471)". The record is from RNAcentral. Lineage: Eukaryota; Viridiplantae; Streptophyta; Magnoliopsida; Rosales; Rosaceae.